Molecule: ribosomal RNA, 400 nt
Filed under: uncultured archaeon
Lineage: Archaea
Description: bacterial SSU rRNA
Rfam family: Archaeal small subunit ribosomal RNA
Source: RNAcentral
GGUUGAUCCUGCCGGAGGUUACUGCUAUUGGAAUCCGAUUAAGCCAUGCGAGUCGAUCGGGUCAGACCCGAGGCGCACUGCUCAGUAACACGUGGAGAAUCUGCCCUUAGGUGAGGAAUAACCUCGGGAAACUGAGAAUAAUACCUCAUAGGUUAUGGAUGCUGGAAUGCUUCAUAGCCAAAAGCCCCGGCGCCUAAGGAUGACUCUGCGGACUAUCAGGUAGUAGUCAGGGUAACGACCUGACUAGCCUACGACGGAUACGGGGUGUGAGAGCACUAGCCCGGAGAUGGAUUCUGAGACACGAAUCCAGGCCCUACGGGGUGCAGCAGGCGCGAAACUUCCGCAAUGCUCGCCAGAGUGACGGAGGGAUUCCAAGUGCCUAUGCUAUGCGUAGGCUGUU